AGCAUGUGUGUUAGUGGAAGCGUCUGGAAAGGCGCGCGAUACAGGGUGACAGCCCCGUACACAAAAGCGCAUGUGCUGUGAGCUCGAUGAGUAGGGCGGGACACGUGAUAUCCUGUCUGAAUAUGGGGGGACCAUCCUCCAAGGCUAAAUACUCCUGACUGACCGAUAGUGAACCAGUACCGUGAGGGAAAGGCGAAAAGAACCCCGGCGAGGGGAGUGAAAAAGAACCUGAAACCGUGUACGUACAAGCAGUGGGAGCACCCUUCGGGGUGUGACUGCGUACCUUUUGUAUAAUGGGUCAGCGACUUAUAUUCUGUAGCAAGGUUAACCGAAUAGGGGAGCCGGAGGGAAACCGAGUCUUAACCGGGCGUUAAGUUGCAGGGUAUAGACCCGAAACCCGGUGAUCUAGCCAUGGGCAGGUUGAAGGUUGGGUAACACUAACUGGAGGACCGAACCGACUAAUGUUGAAAAAUUAGCGGAUGACCUGUGGCUGGGGGUGAAAGGCCAAUCAAACCGGGAGAUAGCUGGUUCUCCCCGAAAGCUAUUUAGGUAGCGCCUCGUGAAUUCAUCUCCGGGGGUAGAGCACUGUUUCGGCUAGGGGGCCAUCCCGGCUUACCAACCCGAUGCAAACUGCGAAUACCGGAGAAUGUUAUCACGGGAGACACACGGCGGGUGCUAACGUCCGUCGUGAAGAGGGAAACAACCCAGACCGCCAGCUAAGGUCCCAAAGUCAUGGUUAAGUGGGAAACGAUGUGGGAAGGCCCAGACAGCCAGGAUGUUGGCUUAGAAGCAGCCAUCAUUUAAAGAAAGCGUAAUAGCUCACUGGUCGAGUCGGCCUGCGCGGAAGAUGUAACGGGGCUAAACCAU
This 867-nucleotide ribosomal RNA is filed under the name Salmonella enterica. RNAcentral describes it as "partial 23S ribosomal RNA". It matches the Rfam family "Bacterial large subunit ribosomal RNA", at positions 319 to 1190 of the family's 2925-position model. Lineage: Bacteria; Pseudomonadati; Pseudomonadota; Gammaproteobacteria; Enterobacterales; Enterobacteriaceae. The record is from RNAcentral.